AUAUCUUAUUAGAAUUGUGUCAGUUUUAUUAUAAUUAUAGUAGUUAAUUAUGCAGUUAUGGUUUAUUAUUAUAUUAUGAUUAAUAAUUAAUUAAGUCAGUAGUGGGAGGUUAAGUUUUAAGAAUAAAUAGGGGAGGGAUGGGAAGAUUGAGGGGCAUCUGAGGAUUUGACUGGGAAGGGGCCAUUUUGGCAAUAGGGAGGUGCAGACCCUCGAAGUUCUGCAAUAUUAUUCUGUAAUCAAAGGGAUUUUCCCUAUUUUAUUCUUCUAUAUCAGUUGAUUUCUAUCAACUGGUAUCAGAGCAUCGAUCUUGGAACCGUUGUACCGUUAUGGAAGAAAUGGAGUUUCGAGUGUUUGAUGGCAAAGAAGAUGCAUACUGGUGGCUGCUAUGCAUUGAGGAACAUUUCAAAAAGAGAGAUACACCAGAUGAGGAGAAACUGACAGAUGCGUUGAUGUUACUCAGAGGUCGUACUCGCCAAUGGUCACACUGGUGGAAUCGACGCCAUCAACAGGUUAGUUGGCAUAUGUUCUCACUUGCAUUUAUUUGGCGUUUUAAACCGGAAUAUCGGGAUAUCAUGCCUAUGUCUGAUGAAGAAGAGGAACCUGAAACUGAAUUGGAGUGGUUGACGACUCAAGGUUCAUUCAAUAUUCAACCACAAGAUAUUGACCAGGGCAAUCCAAAUCCCACCGCGAUAGGAGAAGAGAAAGGUUGGGAAGAUGUAGAAAUGGGGAAAAUAGAGAGAGAUGUAGAAAAUGUCCAUAUGCAUGUCAUGAUUGUGGAAAUGGGACAGGAGAGCAAAACAGAUUUGUGCAAACUUCUUUGCAAUAAAGAAAUGAGUAUGGGGUCAGAGAUAAGGGGAACUACUGUGGGCACCACGACAUCAAUCAUCCUGUAUUUUUUGCUAAAAAAUAUCACCACAAACAGGGUAUAUGAUCAAGGCAUAAGUUUGCAUGAUUCACACAGUGCUCUGUCAUUAUACUUCAAGUUAUGGGACCCAGGUGGACACUUAUGAUAUCCUUCACCUUGAGGACAAGGUGAAUCUUUAGGGGGGGAGUAUUGUUGGAUAUCUUAUUAGAAUUGUGUCAGUUUUAUUAUAAUUAUAGUAGUUAAUUAUGCAGUUAUGGUUUAUUAUUAUAUUAUGAUUAAUAAUCAAUUAAGUCAGUAGUGGGAGGUUAAGUUUUAAGAAUAAAUUGGGGAGGGAUGGGAAGAUUGAGGGGCAUCUGAGGAUUUGACUGGGAAGGGGCCAUUUUGGCAAUAGGGAGGUGCAGACCCUCGAAGUUCUGCAAUAUUAUUCCGUAAUCAAAGGGAUUUUCCCUAUUUUAUUCUUCUAUAUCAGUUGAUUUCUAUCAGAGAGCCCGUAAUAUGACCAUGUGGUUGUCCAUGCCAAGUGUUGGAAUUAUAAUCACAUGCUAUGCAACCAACUUUAGAGUGUCCUGAUCGACGUAGAGGUUGUAUAAAAAACCUGUAAGUGACUAAUUAUAGCUUGUUAAUAACCUGAAAACUGAAAUUUAAUAACCUUAACAUCCAAAACAAGCUAUAAUUAGUCACAAACAUGAGGUAUCCUAAUUAAUACUUCAAACUUAACGCAGCCAGAAUUACACUACCACAGGCCCCUGCCCACUACCUCUAGAACCACUAUCACCUCGCACAGAAGCCUUUUUUCAACAAAUAUUGACCAUCGACAGCAUGGAAACUGAUUUCCAAUCACACCAGAGUUUGACCCACAACUUGAAAACACUCAACCACUAUCCAAUUUUAAUUCAAACAAAAACUGAACCUCAACCACAACAAAGAGGGUUGAGAGAUGGAGUGAUGCAGCCAGACAAAUGAGAAUAGAGGGUUGAGAUAGUUGAGGAAAUAUGCGAAGAGGUGAACAGAUAGACUCGAAAGAGAUUGGUUUCUAUUGUCGGAAAAGCAAAAUGGCAUUUUAGGGCUCAAGCAAGGUUAAAAACCUGGGUUUAGGGGAACCAAGUUGCACAAGCUGACUCAUUAACUCUCUUUGAGAUCUCAUAUUCUCAUGAUCUCAACAAUCUUGCAUGUGAUCUCACAUCGAACAGAAAUUUUGCAUUUGUUCCAACUCAUAUAGAGGUGCCAAGAUUGUAAGAUUGUGUGAUGUUAUGAUUUAGAUCGUGAUCUUGACAACACUGAUCAAAAUUAUUUUUGUUAUUUUCUGUAGGUAGGUAUACCACAGUAGUACUGGUCUAUACUGGCUAAGGGGCUUUAUAGUGGGUUGGUUUUUUCGUUUAGUACCAAUACCAUGGAAUUAAGACACUCGACAGUGUGGUUCCAAUUCACAAUAAUUUGUUUUUCUCUACAAGUCCUUUGCUUCUCUGGUUUUUUAGUUAUUUACUUAACUUGUUAUAAUCAUGAACACUUAACUGAAUUCUUUACAAUACUGUUUGGAAGAUUGAGUUCUCAGUUUUGUAUAGUCCGGCCCACCCCCUUUGCAAUUAUCUUAUUUCUAGCAUAUCUAAUUCCUUCAUUUAAUUAUUCCAGGUCUUACAGUGUAGUCGCACCUGGAAAUACUGUGAACAUAAUUGGUGAAUUUGACGAAGGGGGCAGUUGUGAUAUUAAUCAUGAUAAUAAUUUUUUGAUUGUACACCCGGAUAUUCUUGUGUCUGGAACACGGGUAGUUAUCUUGUACUCUCUCAUCCAAAUUACGUACUUCCAGAUGUUACUUCAGUCUUGUCAACAUAUUUUUGUAUUAAGAGUGAUUUCUUACAGUUUCAGAUUAUGAAACUCUAUCUUGUCAAAUAUUUCCUUUAUAAUAAGUGUUAUUUAUUCUAAAGUGGACAUACUGCAGAUUGUGUUAAACUUUAUUUUUUUUCUUCACAUCUACAUGCUUUAAAAGUGGUGGUUUUAGCAGACAUGUCAGGUGCAAUUCGUAUAGUCCUAGAUUUGCAUCUAUUUAUUUUCUAGUCCAACUUAGGGAACUUUGAUCCUUUAGUUGAUUUUAAUUAGAAAUGGUUAUUGUGCUUCAUGUUUCUGGAUUUUAAGGAAUUAUCGAAGCAGGCUCGUGUCGGUUGGAUUGUCCAUGCUGAAUAUCGAAGUAGGCUCAUUUCGGCUUGAUUGUCCAUGCUGAAUGUCUUUGUGUGCAUAUCGAUUUAUUUUAGGUGAUAUAUAAUUAGGCAUGUGUAUAUUCCUAAUAUAAAAGUAUAUUCCAGGUCGCUUCCAGUUUUACUUGCCCAAGGAGAACUGUCUUAGAUGAAAGGCUAAAAUGCAAUGAGUACUCAACUGCAGCUUUAUGUGGAACCUUGCUUCACCAAAUUUUUCAGGUCUCUAAAAUACAUCAUGUAACCUGUACGACAGUAUAUAUAUUUACAUGUUCUCCCAUUUCAAUGAAUCGGCAUUAAACAUAUACUUCUUUAUACACAUGUGUAUUUAUGUAUGUGUAUAUUAUAAUUAUAUUUGGGCUUGGUUUCUUCGUGUAGGCUGGGCUUACAAAUGACAAUCCUACAAUAGACUUCUUGGAGUCUUACACAGAAGUGGUUUUACAAAGAAAUGUUGAAAGUUUAUUUGCAUGUGGAGGUGUGGCAUUGUGUCUUUCUCUUUAUAUUAUCACGUAUUUAUAUGUACACACAUCUCAUUGGAGUUCGGAAUUUAAUCAACAGUCAUUCUUGGAUAAAACAUAUUUAGUGACUGUGGACCAUUUUAUUGGGGAGCACUAAUUUAUUCUUCACGUGAACAUUGCAGUAAAUGAAAAGGAUGUUCACAAAACCAUGAUUGAUGCUAUCCCUAGAAUAUACAAUUGGAUCAUGCUGUUCAGAAAUAUGGAGGUGGGUCAAAAUCGUUCAUGCUCUGUUCUCAAACACUAAUUGUUGUUAUAGUUUAGAAUGGCCAUAUUUCCUUUGUUAUUGCCAAAUGUAACUUUCUAGGUUAAAAGGUCAUAUGUUCUUUUUCACCUUUUUCUAAAAUCUAUAUCAUUUUAUUAGGAAAAUGCUUAAAUCCCAUUUUUUAUUUUGAAAUAUUUUGACUGAUGACUUGGGGUAUUUUGUCAGGAAAGAGAAGAUCCUAACGUUAAUUUUGGAAGUGUUAAUGGAAUGAAGAAUAUUGGCAUAUCUGAGGCAAGCUCUAAUUUGCUUUCUUGUGUAUAACUGAAUGAUCAUUCAUGCAUAUUGUGUAAACAGAAAUAUAAAUCUAGCAGAAGUACAUUUAUGACUAAGCAAGCUGCGAGUUACUUUAGAUUCUAAUACGUUUGAGGCUUAUUUGUCCUACAAAUACGCAAUCUAUAUGCUUUUUCAGUCCGAUCAUUUUUUAAGAUAUGUUAUCCUUGCAAUAGUUGUGUAUUUUCUCUCUUCUACUUGAUAUAAUUUUAUCUAUUGUCAAAUUAAAGGUUUAAGUGAUUGUAUUUUAGCAGAACAGUCUUUGAUAGGUAAAAGCGUGAAUGUAGGUAUUCGAUGUGUAUCACUUAUUUCCAGGAUAUGCUCAUAAAUGCAUGUCAGAUUGCCCUUGAUAAUAAAUGUUUUGCAUAAAAUGCACAUAUAUGCACUUUUAGAAUCUUAUGUUAUUAGUAGGUAAUUGAUAUUGAAGAAAUGGCAUGGGCACCAAAAUAUGGUUUAAAAGGGAUGAUUGAUGCUUCGGUUAGAGUGAAGGUUCAUUCUAGAAAAGAUCGACCAGAGGGGAAGAUCAUGCCAGUAGAGUUCAAAACUGGAAAAUCACCUAGUGGCCAGGCAAGAUUCCGGUCCUCAUUUCUAAUCAACCCAUAAAAAUUCAGAUAAGAUAAAUACACCAGUUUUAACAUGUUUUGCUUGUUAUAUCUGCAGACAUCAGUAGAACAUAAUGCCCAAGUAAUUCUGUACACUCUCCUGAUGUCUGAAAGGUUCAAACUAUUUAUUUCUUACAGAACAUGUAUAUAUACAUAUGCAUUGAAGGAUUAGUCUAAAAGAUUUCUUUUAUUUAUGUUGUCUUGCUUAUGUUAAUAGGUACAAGAAGACCAUUGAUUCUGGUCUUCUGUAUUAUCUCCAAACAGAUCAGACACAGGUAAGGUUUUGUUGCUUUAAAUCAGUUUCUUCCUGUUAAUGAAGGUAACAUUGUUGAAUUUUUUAUGUACAAAAGGGAAUUACGGUUCAAAGAUCUGACUUAGUUGGGUUAAUAAUACGGCGUAAUGAGCUUGCAAGUGAGAUUCUCAAAGCAUUAGUCUUGCAACAACUUCCACCAGUGUUACAGGUAUGUGGUUUCCCAUAAUGUUAAAUAAUGUGCUUUUAAUGACUUCAUCAGAAUGUCAUUACAAGUCUUCAUUUUCUGAUUGUAGAGUACUAGCAUGUGCAGAGGUUGUCGACAUCUUAAUGUCUGUAGCAUUUAUCAUAAGGUACUUCUUUACCUUGUAGAUAAUAAUUCUAUUGACUGCUUUGAAAGACCACCGGUGAUUGGGAAUUUUUUUAUUUUUUUUUAUUGUGGAUUAUCUAUAUAUAUAUAUAUAAUUUAUAUUUAGUAAUUGCAUUUAUACUUCCAAAGUUAAGAAUAAGAUACCAUGCCCUAAAAGUGUACAAUUUUAAUGAAUUUAACCAUUGUCCAGUAUCUCUUAUUGCACUCUGUUCCUUCCCAUUAUGAUUAUUGGAAGUAAUAUCUGUGUAAUCCUUUGUAAUCUAGCACUGGCUGGUCUUGAUCACACAUAUGCCUAGCACUAUUUGGAAUAUGUAUUAGAGUAGUGAAGAUGUUAAAAGACGUGAAACUAUAUUGUCAUAUGGAGCAUGUCAUAAUGUUAUUACUUAAUUUAAGUAAGAAUGUUGUCUAGGUAAUAUGUUUUCUCAUAUGUUCAUGGUACCUUAACAAUAAAAUGCAUAGGCACAUGGUGGAAGCGUCGAGAACAAUGGAUUGGGAGAUAUUUUUGAUUCCAAUACUAAUCACUUAAGAUCAUCUCAUUCUAAGUUCCUCUGCCAUUGGGAUCAUUUGAUUGACUUGGAAGCGAAAGGGACUGAGGUGAAAAUUUUAAAAUCUUUUGUUUGCCUUUUGUCCUCUAAGAUUUAUUCUUAUUUGUCAUAUUAUAAAAAUUCCUUCUUUUUCCAAUUUCUUAUUUCCUUGAAUAUUUCAGUUCAUAAAGAAAGACGUGUGGCGUUCAUAUAAUUUGAGGAGUCGCAGCGCCGGUGGUGUUUCUUCUAUUGUUAUUGAUGCUUCACAAGGAAUACCUUAUUCAACAUCUCACGAAGAUAAUCGUUUCAUUUAUCGUUUUGUACCACAAGAUAAUUCUUAUCCCUCUAUAGUUUCUGAUGAUGAUCCUUCUAGUGCCUCUUUGAAAAAUGAUUUGGAUCUCACACUGAGAAGUGGUGACUAUGUGGUAUGAGUAAUGGUUGUCUUUUGCAUUAUUUAAUCAUCGAUUAUUUAACUUCUUAAUUAGUAACUUAUGUUUAUUUACUUUUUAGAUAUUGAGUAAUGAAUCGAGCCAUCAAACUAUUGCAAAAGGGGUGAUUUCAGAUAUUAGUCACAAUCAUAUAUCUGUGAGUCUUAUAAUUAUUUCUUUUUUGUUUGUUUUCUGCUUUUUACCUAAAAUUACCAUUUUACUUCUUAUUAUCUUGACAAGCACAUGUAGCCAAAGACAACGUAGCAUAAUCCUUGGUUCAACAAUUUUUUCUUCCUGAGUUGAUCAGUUCUUGUUAUCACUUUUUAAAAUUCUCGUAGGUUUCCUUUUCCAAGCUCUUGAGAAUUCCUGGGAGGUCUUCCACGGAACAUGAUCUCCUUCAGCAGGUUUGGAGAAUCGACAAGGAUGAAGCUGUGACUUCAUUUGCAAUUAUGAGGUGCUUUUUGGUCUACUGCUUUUUACAAACUUUGAUUUGCUAGGUGUGACAAAUUAGAUGUUAUAAUUAUUUGUUUGUCAUUUUAUUUGAAGGUUUAAUCUUGUACAACUUUUUCUACAAGAUGAUCAAAGUGGUCAUCUCCGGAGGAUGAUUGUUGACCUUGAGGUAAAUAACUUGCUAUUUAUGAAUGCAUUCCCCUCUCCCAAGAUCACCAUGUUUACUAAAUUCUGAUUUCUCCUUUUCUCUGUCCUCCUGAUGGCAUGCUUCCUAUAGGCUCCUAGAUUUGACGGUAGCUCUAUAGUUAGCCAUGAUCCAGCAAUAUCUUACGUUUGGUCUGAGCAGAGUUUGAAUGAUGAUCAACGUAGAGCAAUUCUCAAGGUUUCUGAUGAAGUUGAAAUUUCAGGAAUUCAUUUCAUUAAUUUAUUCAAGUUGCUUUAGUUUGUCAUCAAUAAAAUAAUAUCUCUUGGUGUUCCGCUUUGUUGCUGAUUGUCAGAUACUUGUGGCAAAAGAUUAUGCACUUAUAUUAGGGAUGCCUGGAACGGGAAAGACAUCCACCAUGGUCCAUGCUGUGAAAGCCUUAUUGAUUAGAGGGACAUCCAUUUUACUAACAGCCUAUACAAAUUCUGCUGUUGAUAAUUUACUAAUCAAGUUAAAAGCACAGGUAUCCAUGCAUGCGUAUUAUAACAUCUUCAUUUAUUGCAUCUUAUCAUUAAAUAUGCCUGCUUGUUGCAUGUAAAGCAUGCAGGGUAUUUUCUUAAAUUGAUCAUUGUCUAUCUAUGAAGCACAGACUCAGACACUGACAACUUACAACACACAAACACAUUGACAUUGCUAAUGUCAAAAGCAUAGGACACUAAAACAGAUAGAUAAAUAUAUAUUAAUUUAUUUAUUGUAAUUAUUUUAAUUAAUAAAAUAUGAACAUUAUUUAUAAAAAUUUAAAUUGUGAACUGAAAUCAAGCAAUCUGCUUCAUUACAAAAUUCUAAAACAAGGUAUGAUAGUUUUUAACUUCAUUCUUCUAUCUACCACCGAAAAGCUAAAAAUGAUGUAAUCAAAUUUAAUGUCUUACACAUUCAUUGCUAAUCACUUAAUCAACACAUCUAAAACAAUAGAGAGUUGUCACAAGAAACAUUGUUCUUUGUCCUUUAUUAUAGUUUCCAUAAAGCAUCUUUUUCUUUUCUAUUUCAUCUUCUGAGAUUGUUCUGCUGGUGUUCCCAAGAAACUAAGUUGACCUAAGUCUUUGGUUUGGAAUUGCAUCUAUAAGUGUUGCGUAAGGUUCUUAAUGUUCUUUUUUUUGGAUUAAUGUUUUCUUGAUCAUCACCUUUAAUGAUAAUAUCAUCAACAUGCACCACACGCUAAAUAUGUUGAUUUUGGUGAGCAUCCUCUUUCUCAGACGCAGAAAUACCAGUAGCCUUAGUGAGGUGUUCAGGAAGCUUGGCCGUCAAAUACCAUAAAUCCAUGCAUUACGAUAAUCCAAAAAAUUCUUUCCAUUUAAUUUCUUGGAGGUAAUGGUGUGGGAACUAAAAAACACAAAGGGGAUUCAGCUCUUUUUCUUACUGUGUUUCUGUUGAUAUUUGUCAGAAAAUAUCAGAGUACUUAAUUUUCUUUUCUGUUGUAUGGCCUUCUAUAGUCCAAUGACUAUAAUAUAACGUGGUUUUAUAUUUCUUAAAUUAUAACUUUACACUUCAUUAAAUGUUAUUGCAAUAUAAAUGGAUCCAGGGCAUUGAUUUUGUACGUGUUGGAAGACAUGAAGCAGUACAUGAAGAGGUUAGAGGGCACUGCCUCUCAGGUUUGCCAAUUUUUAACUAGUACUCUUCCUUUUAAUUCGUCAUAAUUUUUGAAUAAAAAUCUUUUGACAGAAGUAUCUAUCACAGAAACAAACGUAAAGAGUGUUGAAGAUAUCAAAAUAAGGUUAGAACAAGUCAAAGUUGUUGCAGUUACUUGUUUGGGCAUUUCCAGUCCCCUGCUUGCCAAUAGGAGAUUUGAUGUAUGCAUUAUGGAUGAAGCUGGGCAGACCACUCUGCCGGUAUGUUUCUUUUUUAGCUCAUAAAUUUUCAAGGCAUAUGUGACAUCAAUGACAUGUAUAUGUACCGAUAGGAAGGUUGUAAUUUGUAGCAGCGUUGAAAAAUUGAUUGUAUUAGUGGCAAAAUUAUCUCUUUGCUGCUGAAAUAAACUGACACAAAAUGAAAGCAUGUAUUUGGAAUGAAAAGAGACGAAUGGCAAUGCAGCCUCUAUGAUGGCUUGCCACCUUUUAUCCAAAGACCCUUAAUUGAACUUGGUGUUAGCCAUGGUGAAUGACAGAUUAUGGCAGCCAGCCAGAAACCCGCCAUAUAAACAUAGUGUUGCACCCUAUAGAUGAAACAUGGCGGAUAUAAUAGGUGUGCAGCCUAUGGAGAUGGCGGAUAUAAUCUAGAAACAAACAUGCAGGGUCUGGUGUGAGUUUUAUUUUUUUGAAAGCGGAUCUUGUGUGAGUUGAAUAGUUUAGAAUGGUCAACUUAUAUUUUGCAAUGAGGUUGUGCAAAUAUAUAUAUACAAAAGAGGAACUGACAAUAAAGAGGAACUGAAAUUCUAAGGGGAUGCAAAGAAGCCAGCAAAGAAACCACAAUGAAGGCGGAAAGAACAAAAAGAAACCGCAAAGACGGUGGCUAGGGUUUAUGCCGAAGUAAGGCCCUCAAAAUCGGGAGCUCUGAUACCAUCAUAGAAUAUAGGUUGGGCCUAACUCAACCCUUACUAAACCGGCUUGUUAGGUGAGGACUACCCCCACUUAUAAAGUCGUAUUCAGGCCUUAUCUCAUCUAAUGGGGGGCUCUUGAUACAACCCCUUAUGCCCAGGAAUGACAUCUGGAGCGUGACCCAUGUGACCUGAUAUCAGAUGGUCCAACAAAUAUUGGACAGACUGAUACCUGGUGGAAAAUACUAUCUGAUAUAUUUCAAAUUCUUGAAUAAACUACAUGCACUAAUUUGUUUAAAUGCUCUAUUCUAAAUUCAAUGGGCUGGAUUAAUGAGCUGAACAUAAUUAUUAUUAAUAACUGCAAAUAUACAUUAUUGAUGACAACUUAUAAUGCAAAUUUUUCCACUGUAGGUGUCCUUGGGCCCUCUAAGAUUUGCUUCAACGUUUGUUCUUGUGGGGGAUCAUUAUCAACUGCCACCACUUGUCCAUGUAUGCGCCCUUAGUCUUGCAGUAUCAACACUUUCGUGUACAAAAUUCAUUGAUAACACUGAAUUGUGAAAUUUUUUAUCUGAACAUUCUUAGAGUACAGAGGCCCGAGAGAAUGGCAUGGGGAUGAGUUUAUUUUGUAGGCUUUCAGAAGCUCAUCCACAGGCAAUUUCAGCUUUACAGAGUCAGGUCUGUUGUAGCUACUACAUAUUUGCAUUACAAGCUAUGGUUUUGUCAUUUUUCCUUCCUUUUCUCUCUACAUCAGUUACUAAGUAAAAUGUAUACAGUACCGUAUGUGUCAGGGUAUUAUGGACUUGUCAAAUGCCUUGAUAUAUGGUGACAGACUGAGGUGUGGUACAUCUGAGAUAGCUAAUGCCAAACUUGAGUUUUCUGGCUUAAACUGCAGUUUGCCUUGGCUAGAAAAUGUAAGGAUAUUAUCUUCCAUAUUUGCAUUAUCUUAUUUGUGUGGAAUUUGUAUUUAUUGCGUAAUUUGUUUCGUUUAGUGGAGCUUCUACCCAAUUUCGAUGCAAUCAAUUUUGAUUUGUUUUUUCUGUAUAACUUUUUAUGUCUAUGUAUAGCUUAAUAUCUUAAUGUCAUUCUUUUGUUAGUUCUAUUCCCUCGUUUUAUUUUACUUAAUAAUGGAUGUGUACUUGUUACAGUGUUUGACUCCGAUGACCAAUGAGAAAUUAAGAGAACAGUUUACAUUACAACUUUUGAGAAGUUAGAUAAAGUGAUCAUUCUGAAACUGAAACUGUUUUCUGAAUUUUAAAGCGAUCUGAAUUUGUUACACUUAAAUUUUUAGAAAAUGGCUGAAAUUGGUUCUAAAUAUCUUGAGUUACUCUCAAUAUGUUCAUUUAUACUACUAAUAUGUAUCUAACCAAAGAUAAGGAUACAAACAAUCUCUAAUCUAAUAUAAUCUAUCAUAUUAUGUUAGAACAAAAUAUCUACAAUGAUAGUAUCAUCACAUGAUAUUUCAAAUUUAAAUAUCUCAACUCUGUCUCUCAAUGGCGUAUGCAUCUUACUUGUCACAUAGAUAAGAUAUUCUUGGUCCUAUAAGCAAUUUGGUGAAGAUAUCUUGCAACAGGUCAUUGGCAUUCACAAACAAUGUAUUUAUGAUCUCCCUAGGUUGAACUUCAUGAAUAAACUAACAAUUAGUCCCCGCUCACAAAGUCUUUAUUUUUCCUUUUCAUUAUAACAAUUAUCAAGGAUAUACAAACCACACAAGGUUAACUUUCCAUCAAAACUCCAACUACAUCAAGGGAAAUCAUUAAGAAAAGUGACAGUAUCUAUAUACUCAUUUUAGAUCACAAAUCAACUUGAAAUGUGGACAUAAAAUUCGCCAAUAUUAAUUCUAAACAUAAACAUUGGAUAGUUUUGGUCAAUAUUAAUGUAAAAUCAUAUGUUCCUAGAGUUUAAUCUUAUUCCUCAUUGUUCACAAAUGCAGGUUUUGAAUCCCAGAAGGCCAGUGAUAUUUAUAGAUACUGGUUUGUAUAUCAUCCUAUUUUCAUCAUUUAUCCUAAAGGACAUUGAAAAUGGGAUCACUAAUAUGAAUAUUUCUUUGCCACUCAGAUAUGCUGCCUGCCUUAGAGGAAAGGGAUCACAAAAUUGUAAAUAACCCUAUUGAAGCUCACAUAAUCGCUGAGGUAUGUCAUUUGUAUUUGCAAUACAACACAUUUUCUUGUUGGAAGAAUAUCAAACCUUGGACCAUGGAUAUUGAUUCUCAACAUAUUUCCGUUGAGAUUGUUGGAUACUGCGAAGGAUUAUUGUCUUCUGUAAACAUCCAACCCUUAGGAUUGAAUUGAUGAUUCUGACUAGCCAAAAUUUCAAUACUAUAGAGUAUUAACCAUGGUUAUCAAUAUAUUUUAUAAUACAGACGAGUCGUUCUAAUGAAUCAUAACUUGAACUUAGUGGAGCCAGCCACAUUUUUGUCCAAUUUUGUAUAGCCAACCAAUUUUUUGUCUAACUUUGUAUAGCCAGACAUGUCUCUUUGGUUAUUUUAUUUAUGACUUCAAUCUUGAACUGAGGUUCAAAUAUGAUAUAUUUUUGUUAUUUCACAUGUUUUUACAAAACAAUGCCAUUUCAUUCCUGGAUCAUUGUCUAUCAGAGAGAUUCUGAACAAUCAUUACAUUUAUUGAUGAUGAAAAUGAAUUCUUGAUGCAAGACAAAGUCUUUAUAUCUAUAUUUACAGACUGAGCCAACACUAACAAAAUUAAAACAGAAUGGAUCUACUAGCCAUUGUGAUGCUGAAUCAUUUUGAUAAAUCAUUGUAAUACAUAAUAAUAAAUCAUUGUGAUACUUACAAUUUUAAGGAUGGGGUUGUAUGCAAAAACAUGUAAUAGCUGAUAUAUUAGUAUUAGUGUCUCUUCGUCAAUGGCCUAAUGUUUUUUGUUUUUAUCAAAUGCUUUCUUAAUUCUUCCAUGUUUGGUUAUUAUACCUUGAGAUGAGAUAAUAUUGGUCGAUAUAAAACUUGUUUCAUUACUUUUUUGAUCUUAAUUCAUCAAUGCACCUGAUUAUUUUGGGACCAAAGUCAUCCCAUGUAAUUAUGUUGCUGCCAUCUGUUACUAGAAACAGUCCCAAUCCCAAAGGGGAACAGUUCUCAUUCAUUUUAUAAUGCAGGUUGCAAAGGAAUUGGUAAAAAAUGGAAUUGGAGGAGAGAACAUUGGCAUUAUUACUCCCUAUAAUUCACAGGCAAACCUCAUACGACAUGCUACUUGCAUAACAUCCUUAGAGAUACAUACCAUUGACAAAUACCAGGUAAGGCUGGAGCAAAAAUUAGAAGGGUUUAGUAUCUUUCUAAUCCUUAGAACUAUGCUUUUUUUAAUUCCUGUUUAAAAAAAUUUCAUUUCAAGAGACUAAUUGAUUAAAAAUGUCAUAAAUUGUCGAGUGUUUAGCAUUUCACUAAUAUUGAAGGCAUGCCUUAGUUUUUAUGCCUUGUUGUUUUACCUCAUUUACAAUUUGUUAUUUAGAGAACAUGAUACAACGAGAAAGAUCCUCAUAAAUUUGUCAUCUGUUUGUCCAGGGUAGAGAUAAAGACUGCAUAUUAGUAUCUUUUGUACGUUCUUGUGAGAACCCAACAAGCUGUGUCGCUUCUCUGCUGGGAGACUGGCACAGGAUAAAUGUGGCUCUUACUCGUGCUAAGGUAAUUUUGUUAUGCUCAAACUCUUCCUACUUUUCACUCAUAUAACUUUCACAUAAGUAAUUGGUAUGCAUGCUUCGUGAUUACAGAGAAAGUUGAUAAUGGUGGGGUCUCGUAAAACUCUAUUGAAGGUUCCAUUACUGAAGCUUCUGAUAAAGAAAGUUGAGGAGCAAUCUGGAAUUUUAAAUGUAUCUAAGAAGGAUAUCUAUAGUAAAGGAGAGCUGAUUAGAUGCUCUCAAAUUUCAUGUUCAGAACAAACAUUAGAUGUUCCUAAAUGAUGAGUCAAAAUUCUUUUCCCCAUUUUGAGAGGGGCUUGCGCAAUAUUAUAUACCAGAUGUAAAUAUGUAAUGUAUGAGUGUGUGUUUUGGGACUAAUUUAGAAAUGAAAUUCUGUAUAGUGUUUUAGUACACUCCAAAAGAAAGCUAUUUUCGGUUAUUUAAUUAAGAAAAAUGACCUGGAGUCAAAUACACAUGUCUAAAAGUCUAUCUUUAGUCAAUACAUAUGUAUAAUUCUCUCAUACAAAUUUCCUUUUAAGGUAGCAAAUUUGAGCAUGAACCUAUGGAAGCUGCAAUUUCUUUUGAAUGAAAUCCUAUAUCAUUUAUCUCUCCUCGAGAAGACUCCAUUUUCUUUUGUAAAAAUUUCAUUAUUAAUAUUAAAAAAAAUAUAAAAGAAUGAAAAAUUUCUCCCAACAAAUUCCACUAUGUAUGUUUUUUCCCAUUUAUUAAUUAAAACAAUAAUAAUAUAAGUGUUAUAUGCUUUCGAAUUUUUUUUAAAAAAACACUAAUUCGUUCAAUCGUUCAUGCUCUGCGUUGUGAAAAUGAAUUAGCUUCACUCAAAUUUAUUAUCAAAUAAAUUAGAGAAAGUUUUUGACAAAAAAAUAUAUAAAGCAUAAGAGAAGCAAACAUAUUAAAUUUGAAAUCCAAAUAUUUUACUUGUAAAUAAGACAUUGAAAAAUGAAAAUGCAACAUAUCCUGUUAUAUCAAUACAUGACAUAAAAAUGACAAAUGUGUCAAAUAUGCUAGUAACUAAAUCCCAAUACAAGAUUACAAAAUUCUAUACUAAUGUCAUAAUCUAGGACUUCAAGAUCCUCAUUAGAGACCAAAACAAUAUGUAGAGAUUACCUGCAAAACAAAAAACAUGAAAAGAAUUAGAAUGGAUGAUAAAAAGUUAUAAUUAUCAAUCAAACUAUAAAGUUAUCAAGUUUAACAUGAAAACAAUUAGAAUGAUCAUAGGUGGGUUCUAAUCUGGCAUAUAUGUGAUAGACAAACACUACCAAUCAAAGUAUAAAUUGAACAAAAUUUGGUAUCAAUUUAACUAUCCAUUGCAUUAUGCCUACAACUAAACUGACCUGCUGAUAUUAUACCAUCACAGACACAAACUAUACUCAUGAAAAUUCAUUUCAAACUCAGAAAAGAUUAGUAAACUGGCCUACUACUUCAUAUGAUUUUACAUUUGACAUUCUUUUAGGCUACUUUUACUAUAACCUUUGUGCAUUAUUAACUAGACAAGUGUAUACCGGGGAUACCUCAAGGAUGAAUCUGCACCAAUACAUAUGUAGAAAACACUACCUUCUACCGUAUGAUUGUCUUCCAUGGAAAGAACACAUUCUGAUAUCUUGAUAUCCUCCAAACGGCAAACCACGGCUUGCAUCCUAUGUGAACAUUGUUGUAAGGGUUAGUCAAUCAACCGAUGAUGAUAUGCCAUCAUGAGAUGGCAUCUAUCUUUAUUUCCUGUUACUGUCACGCAUAAGAAUGAAGAUGGACUACACUUUCAAUUUAGUUUUUUAUUAAAGUCAGACGUUGUUAACUUCAUAUUGUUGUUGAAGCUACAGUCUUCUGUUUUUUCUAGUCCGACAUAUUACAUAUUCAGUCC
Molecule: long non-coding RNA, 14891 nt
Filed under: Medicago truncatula (barrel medic)
Lineage: Eukaryota; Viridiplantae; Streptophyta; Magnoliopsida; Fabales; Fabaceae
Description: long non-coding RNA (MTRU_LNC004925)
Source: RNAcentral